UCAAUCUCAGGUGAUCAGGUCACAAUGAUGAAUUUCAGCAGUGCCAAGCUAGCCACUCCAGCAAAAGAGGAGCUUCCCUUUCUCAGGAAUUGCAACCAAGGUUCAAGAUUCACACCAUCAUCCAGCCUUGGACAUUGGCUCACCUUGGAACCAAUUUCCAUGGCCAAGGAAGGAGGUGGAUGGCUCUGAUUGGUUAGCCCAGAGCCCAGCCUUAGGGGCUGGGGAUGCAGUGCCCCACACAGAACCUCAUAGAUUAAGAGCAGUUGAAGGAUGAUGGUUACUCAGAGUAAUUCAGGAUGCUGUUACCCAAAGAAAGGAGAAUAGGUGUUGAACUGGAUGGCUGUCUGCUAACUUGUUAUUAGUCAUCUCCAAGACACAGCCUCUGUGUUGUUUUAGCCAAAACACCAUAGCCAGGUCUUUUCUGAUAAAAACAGUCCAGCCUGAUCCUGAUUCUGCACACCCAAGUCACAAGUCCAGGCAGAAGACUUCCAAAUCAAGGGAUGGCCGCAGACUUCUCCAACAGAUAAGCUGUGCAGACACGGCUUCUGCUACUUAACGUCCUCUCGGUAGCUCUCCACUGUGAUUUGCAAGGCUCGUAUUAGCCUGUCAGAAGGGAAGGAUUAACAUGUAUUUUGAUUUCUGUUGAAAACACGUUGUUUCAGAAAUAAAGUUGGCAUGGCAGGCAUCUUGGUUGAUUUAAUCUCUGACACAGGAAGUUUAUUUAUAGCAUCACAGCCUUCUGAAUGUUUAAAAACUCAAGCAUUAUAAGCCUGCUGUGCUUUUCCUGCGAAGUAUGGAACGGCACUAAAUGAAUAAUGCCACCAGGGCCAGCAGCAGAGCCGGGAUCCAGAAUCAAACACGGCUUUCAUCUGCUCCUGUCUUUAUUUUGUGCCUCAUGGAGUCUAGAUUUUUUUUCUCCAAACUGAAUAACUUCUUUCAAGAAAUGGCACCACCAUUCACCAAGU
Chlorocebus sabaeus (green monkey) is the source of this 965-nucleotide non-coding RNA. Lineage: Eukaryota; Metazoa; Chordata; Mammalia; Primates; Cercopithecidae. The record is from RefSeq and is a predicted model, not a curated record.